This is a long non-coding RNA of Nematostella vectensis (starlet sea anemone), 125 nucleotides long. RefSeq lists it as uncharacterized. NCBI's taxonomy places the organism in Eukaryota, Metazoa, Cnidaria, Anthozoa, Actiniaria, Edwardsiidae. The transcript has 4 exons. The record is from RefSeq and is a predicted model, not a curated record.
GAAAGAAAGGUUCUCUUUCAAAGUCUGGCAGCAUCAAAAUAAAACAGUGCUAUUACAGUUCUGCUACUGUUAGAUCAUGUAGUAUUUGUGGCUUAUUGUAUGCAACAGAAGUAUUAACUGUACUG